Molecule: ribosomal RNA, 126 nt
Filed under: Oxytropis deflexa subsp. foliolosa
Lineage: Eukaryota; Viridiplantae; Streptophyta; Magnoliopsida; Fabales; Fabaceae
Description: partial 18S ribosomal RNA
Rfam family: Eukaryotic small subunit ribosomal RNA
Source: RNAcentral
UCGGAUUGCGGCGACGUGGGCGGUUCGCUGCCCGCGACGUUGUGAGAAGUCCACUGAACCUUAUCAUUUAGAGGAAGGAGAAGUCGUAACAAGGUUUCCGUAGGUGAACCUGCGGAAGGAUCAUUG